Molecule: ribosomal RNA, 451 nt
Filed under: uncultured bacterium
Lineage: Bacteria
Description: bacterial SSU rRNA
Rfam family: Bacterial small subunit ribosomal RNA
Source: RNAcentral
CAUCCAGACUCCUACGGGAGGCAGCAGUGGGGAAUAUUGGACAAUGGGGGGAACCCUGAUCCAGCGACGCCGCGUGAGUGAAGAAGUAUUUCGGUAUGUAAAGCUCUAUCAGCAGGGAAGAAAGAAAUGACGGUACCUGACUAAGAAGCCCCGGCUAACUACGUGCCAGCAGCUGCGGUAAUACGUAGGGGGCAAGCGUUAUCCGGAUUUACUGGGUGUAAAGGGAGCGUAGACGGUUACGCAAGUCUGGAGUGAAAGGUGGGGGCCCAACCCCCGGACUGCUUUGGAAACUGUGCAGCUAGAGUGCAGGAGAGGUAAGUGGAAUUCCUAGUGUAGCGGUGAAAUGCGUAGAUAUUAGGAGGAACACCAGUGGCGAAGGCGGCUUACUGGACUGUAACUGACGUUGAGGCUCGAAAGCGUGGGGAGCAAACAGGAUUAGAUACCCCAGUAA